AACGAACGCUGGCGGCAUGCUUAACACAUGCAAGUCGAACGGAACGUCCGGGUCUAGGGGCGGUCGGGUGCGUACCACCUGGUAACCUGCCCUUAGGUUCGCCAUAACUCCCCGAAAGAGAUGCUCAUACAGGAUAAUGUCUUCGGACAAAAGAUUGUUCGGCUUAGGAUGGGCGCGGGUUGGAUUAGCCAGUUGGUAGGGUAAAAGCAGACCAAGGCGGCGAUCCAUAGCUGGUCUGAGAGGAUGACCAGACACACUGGGACUGAGACACGGGCCAGACUCCUACGGAGCAGAGCGGAGGGUAACAUUACGCUCUGAGCCAAAACCUGAUGCAGCCAUGUCGGGUGAGUGAUCAGUGCGUUAGAAUAGUAAAGCUCUUUUACCCGGAACGAUAAUGACAGUAACGGGAGAAUAAGCUCCGGCUAACUCCGUG
RNAcentral lists this ribosomal RNA (433 nucleotides) under uncultured bacterium. Its description in RNAcentral is "partial 16S ribosomal RNA". It matches the Rfam family "Bacterial small subunit ribosomal RNA", at positions 29 to 507 of the family's 1533-position model. The record is from RNAcentral.